CAGGGGACUAGUCGACCAACGCAUUAUCAUGUGCUGUAUGAUGAAAAUAAAUUCACUGCAGACCAGCUACAGAGUUUGACCAAUAACUUGUGCUACACUUAUGCGAGGUGUACUCGAUCUGUCUCAAUAGUUCCUCCUGCCUAUUAUGCAGA
Molecule: long non-coding RNA, 152 nt
Organism: Lathyrus oleraceus (garden pea)
Lineage: Eukaryota; Viridiplantae; Streptophyta; Magnoliopsida; Fabales; Fabaceae
Exons: 3
Source: RefSeq, a predicted model, not a curated record